This 318-nucleotide long non-coding RNA is filed under the name Prunus persica (peach). Its description in RNAcentral is "long non-coding RNA (PPER_LNC006077)". Lineage: Eukaryota; Viridiplantae; Streptophyta; Magnoliopsida; Rosales; Rosaceae. The record is from RNAcentral.
AGACUCGCCGGAGCUCCUGCCACUGCUGCUGCUGCUGGUUCCUUGGCCUCCUCGCCGCCAUCGUUUUCCUCUCCGCGGCCGCCGCCGGCAUCUUCUACCUCGUCGUCCGCCCCGAGGCCCCCAACUACUCCGUUGAGAGCAUCGCAUUUAAAGGCUUCAACCUCACAACGACGUCGUCCCCGCCGUCCGCCAUCUCGCCUGAGAUCCACGUCACCGUCCGGGCCCAGAACCCUAACAAGAAGAUCGGGAUCUACUACGAGAGAGAGAGCUCCGUCAAGCUCUUUUACUCCGACAUCAAACUGUGUGACGGCGUUCUGC